AAAAACAUGGCCUUUUGAUUUUUAUUUAAGGUCUAGCCUGCCCAAUGAAUAUUUGAAUGGCCGCGGUAUUUUAACCGUGCUAAGGUAGCAUAAUCAUUUGUCUUUUAAUUGAGGGCUUGUAUGAAUGGUUGGACGAGAUAUUAACUUUCUUUAAAUCAUUAAUUUAAUUUAACUUUUUAGUUAAAAGGCUAAAAUUUUAUAAUGGGACGAGAAGACCCUAUAGAUCUUGACUUCUUUUUUUGUUAAUUAAUGUAGAUGUAAAUUUAUUUUAACAAAAAACGAAGUUUGGUUGGGGUGACAGCAGAAUUUUAUUAACUUCUGUUUAUAUUAAUUCAUUAAUUUAUGAUUUAUGAUCCAGUUUUAUUGAUUAAAAGAUUAAGUUACCUUAGGGAUAACAGCGUAAUUUCUUUGGAUAGUUCAUAUUGAUAAAGAAGUUUGCGACCUCGAUGUUGGAUUAAAAUUAGUGGUGGGUGCAGUAGCUUACUUACUAGGUCUGUUCGACCUUUAAAUUUUUACAUGAUCUGAGUU
This 528-nucleotide ribosomal RNA is filed under the name Acanthaspis laosensis. Its description in RNAcentral is "partial 16S ribosomal RNA". It matches the Rfam family "Bacterial large subunit ribosomal RNA", at positions 1809 to 2611 of the family's 2925-position model. Lineage: Eukaryota; Metazoa; Arthropoda; Insecta; Hemiptera; Reduviidae. The record is from RNAcentral.